CCUUUAUUGCCGCCUCCUCUCCUUAGGUAUGGAUCCUUCUUGGGCAUCCCACCUGCUGGUGUGAGGUGUCACACCAUCAUAUCUCAUUCCUCGAUUGAUUGAGUUGCAAAACCAAUUGGAUUAGAGUUCAUCCUACUUUUCUACGGCAUCUAACGUACAUGCGAAGUAGAGGGUCUACAUAUCCAGACCUUCGUGAAGGUUUAUAUCAGAUAAUUUGAGAUUUGAUCCCUGGUUCCGCUGCGAUUCAGGUAAAGAUUUGAUCCUUAAACAAGUAGAAUAUUAGAAAAAAAUUUUAGAUGCAACCUGGGCAUUCUGGAGAGAAACUAUUUUCUUCCCUUCAUCCAUACCACUCAUGAUAUCUAGAUUUGUGAGAUAGAAGGAUUACUAUGGCAUGUUAUCCACCAUGGGAUUUGAUGAGUCUACCCAAACAUGCUCCAAGUGAUGAU
Molecule: long non-coding RNA, 446 nt
Filed under: Elaeis guineensis (African oil palm)
Lineage: Eukaryota; Viridiplantae; Streptophyta; Magnoliopsida; Arecales; Arecaceae
Description: long non-coding RNA (EGUI_LNC053394)
Source: RNAcentral